This 289-nucleotide long non-coding RNA is filed under the name Medicago truncatula (barrel medic). RNAcentral's name for it is "long non-coding RNA (MTRU_LNC000713)". The record is from RNAcentral. Lineage: Eukaryota; Viridiplantae; Streptophyta; Magnoliopsida; Fabales; Fabaceae.
UUAGCUAUUUACUAUCCAGAUUCUAUAAAACCAAUGAACAAAUUUGAGAAAUGAAUCUAUUUAUGCCGAGACAAAUUGAGGUCUCUUAUCGCCUGCAACACCAAAUGUCUUACGUCUAUUCUUUCUAGAAUCUGUCUGAGGAAAGUCUGAAGAAUGGUGAGAACCAAUGGCAGGAGGACGAGAAGAGACUCUGUCUCUAAACUCUUUCCGUAUUUCCCAUAGAACCUCUUGACAAUUCUUCAUCGAUGGACGCAAUCGUCUCACAGGUGCAAGACACUGGAAAGCAAGC